This 253-nucleotide ribosomal RNA is filed under the name uncultured bacterium. RNAcentral's name for it is "partial 16S ribosomal RNA". It matches the Rfam family "Bacterial small subunit ribosomal RNA", at positions 524 to 776 of the family's 1533-position model. The record is from RNAcentral.
UACGUAGGGGGCAAGCGUUGUCCGGAAUCAUUGGGCGUAAAGCGCGUGUAGGCGGCUCGGUAAGUCUGCUGUGAAAGUCCAGGGCUCAACCCUGGGAUGCCGGUGGAUACUGUCGAGCUCGAGUCCGGAAGAGGCGAGUGGAAUUCCUGGUGUAGCGGUGGAAUGCGCAGAUAUCAGGAAGAACACCAACGGCGAAGGCAGCUCGCUAGGACGGUACUGACGCUGAGACGCGAAAGCGUGGGGAGCGAACAGG